UUAAUUGAAACCAAAAAGAGGUGAAUCACUGUUAAUGAUUUAAUUGGCAAUUACGCCCAAUUAAA
RNAcentral lists this transfer RNA (65 nucleotides) under Staphylinidae sp. BMNH 1274145. RNAcentral's name for it is "tRNA-Asn". The record is from RNAcentral. Lineage: Eukaryota; Metazoa; Arthropoda; Insecta; Coleoptera; Staphylinidae.